Molecule: ribosomal RNA, 911 nt
Filed under: Neocucurbitaria juglandicola
Lineage: Eukaryota; Fungi; Ascomycota; Dothideomycetes; Pleosporales; Cucurbitariaceae
Description: partial large subunit ribosomal RNA
Rfam family: Eukaryotic large subunit ribosomal RNA
Source: RNAcentral
UAGCAUAUCAAUAAGCGGAGGAAAAGAAACCAACAGGGAUUGCCCUAGUAACGGCGAGUGAAGCGGCAUCAGCUCAAAUUUGAAAUCUGGCUCUUUCAGGGUCCGAGUUGUAAUUUGCAGAGGGCGCUUUGGUGUUGGCAGCGGUCCAAGUUCCUUGGAACAGGACGUCACAGAGGGUGAGAAUCCCGUACGUGGUCGCUGGCCUUCGCCGUGUAAAGCCCCUUCGACGAGUCGAGUUGUUUGGGAAUGCAGCUCUAAAUGGGAGGUAAAUUUCUUCUAAAGCUAAAUACUGGCCAGAGACCGAUAGCGCACAAGUAGAGUGAUCGAAAGAUGAAAAGCACUUUGGAAAGAGAGUCAAAUAGCACGUGAAAUUGUUGAAAGGGAAGCGCUUGCAGCCAGACUUGCCUGUAGUUGCUCAUCUAGGCUCUUUGCCUAGUGCACUCUUCUGCGGGCAGGCCAGCAUCAGUCUAGGCGGUUGGAUAAAGGCCUCUGUCAUGUACCUCCUCUCGGGGAGGCCUUAUAGGGGAGGCGUAAUGCAACCAGCCUGGACUGAGGUCCGCGCAUCUGCUAGGAUGCUGGCGUAAUGGCUGUAAGCGGCCCGUCUUGAAACACGGACCAAGGAGUCUAACAUCUAUGCGAGUGUUUGGGUGUCAAGCCCGAGCGCGUAAUGAAAGUGAACGGAGGUGGGAUCCCUUUAGGGUGCACCAUCGACCGAUCCUGAUGUCUUCGGAUGGAUUUGAGUAAGAGCAUGGCUGUUGGGACCCGAAAGAUGGUGAACUAUGCUUGAAUAGGGUGAAGCCAGAGGAAACUCUGGUGGAGGCUCGCAGCGGUUCUGACGUGCAAAUCGAUCGUCAAAUUUGGGCAUAGGGGCGAAAGACUAAUCGAACUAUCUAGUAGCUGGUUCCUGCCGA